This 470-nucleotide ribosomal RNA is filed under the name Geobacillus stearothermophilus. Its description in RNAcentral is "bacterial SSU rRNA". It matches the Rfam family "Bacterial small subunit ribosomal RNA", at positions 44 to 487 of the family's 1533-position model. The record is from RNAcentral. Lineage: Bacteria; Bacillati; Bacillota; Bacilli; Caryophanales; Anoxybacillaceae.
CCGCCAGCUAUACAUGCAGUCGAGCGGACCGGAUGUGGGGCUUGCUCCUUUGAUUCGGUCAGCGGCGGACGGGUGAGUAACACGUGGGCAACCUGCCCGCAAGACCGGGAUAACUCCGGGAAACCGGAGCUAAUUCCGGAUAACACCGAAGACCGCAUGGUCUUCGGUUGAAAGGCGGCCUUUGGGCUGUCACUUGCGGAUGGGCCCGCGGCGCAUUAGCUAGUUGGUGAGGUAACGGCUCACCAAGGCGACGAUGCGUAGCCGGCCUGAGAGGGUGACCGGCCACACUGGGACUGAGACACGGCCCAGACUCCUACGGGAGGCAGCAGUAGGGAAUCUUCCGCAAUGGGCGAAAGCCUGACGGAGCGACGCCGCGUGAGCGAAGAAGGCCUUCGGGUCGUAAAGCUCUGUUGUGAGGGACGAAGGAGCGCCGUUCGAAGAGGGCGGCGCGGUGACGGUACCUCACGAGA